CUCUUGAGACAUCUCAAGUAACCUCUGCCCUAUGAAUGGUUUAAAUGGCCGCAGUAUUUUGACUGUGCAAAGGUAGCAUAAUCACUUGUCUUUUAAUUGGAGGCUGGAAUGAAGGAGGCGACGAAAUUUAGGCUAUUUAGUUUUAAUAUAAAAUUAACAUAAAGGUCAAAAGGCUUUUAUACACCAAAGGGACGAUAAGACCCUAUAAAACUUUACUAUUGGCAGGGUCAUUUAGGUAGGACUUAAACUAUAGUUUAGCUGGGGCGGCUAGCAUAAAAACAACCACAAAAAAAAUAUUUUUAAUAAACUUAUAGAGCUCCGGUAGGAAAUGAAUAAGUUACUUUAGGGAUAACAGCAUAAUUCCCCCAGAGAGUCCUAAUUGGCGGGGGAGCUUAUGACCUCGAUGUUGAAUUGGGGUGUCUAAUGUAAGUAGAAAUAUAUUAAGAUGGUCUGUUCGACUAUUAAACUCCC
This 471-nucleotide ribosomal RNA is filed under the name Proasellus oviedensis. RNAcentral describes it as "partial 16S ribosomal RNA". It matches the Rfam family "Bacterial large subunit ribosomal RNA", at positions 1835 to 2597 of the family's 2925-position model. The record is from RNAcentral. Lineage: Eukaryota; Metazoa; Arthropoda; Malacostraca; Isopoda; Asellidae.